AUGGUUUUCCGCCGCUUUAAAGCACGGAAGUAUAACGACACGAUAAACCCGGGUCGUUCUCCACCCCAUCCGCGAUACCGUCCCUCGUCUCGUCACCCACUUCGCUCAUCUCCACCUCCGGCCGUGUAAUAAGCUCCCUGUACGUUUCGCGUUUUCUACACCGACUACCGUGUACCCUCGUUCAGCCCCGGGAAGCCGGCGUUUGUUCGGGUCGGUGCAUAAAUAGGCUUGCCAAAAGUUUAUCACGGAUUAGCCUCGGCAUUGUGCUCCGUUUCGGCUGGUAAGAAACGAGCCGUAGAGGAAGAGACGGGAACGACGAGCGCGAGAUGCCGGCUGGUAGGCGAGUACACAGGUGGAAGGGUCGGCUCGAGUACACCGAGGGUGUCUACCCACUUGGCUACACACUCGGUCCUCUCUUAUCCAGUAGUCGCGCGCCUCGCCCGCACGUUCUACCGACUUCAACGAGGCAACUGCUUAACCGCGUCAUAAGCAACCUCGCGAAACGCUCUUGGUCGUCGCGUCGAGCACGGAGCCAACUCGCUGGCUCCUAGCCGGAUAGAGUCCCGGCUGCAUCCUCGCAGUGACGCACGCUUUCGCGGGGUCAUCCGACCAUGCGCCGCGCCGCGGAAUGAAGACGAUUACCGUGGGUAAACCUUGACGCCUUCAGUGAAUUUUCCGCGAGGUUUCGAGUGCAUUGUGUAUUUUAGAACCGUACAGGCUCGAGCACGAACGCGGGUGACGUAAACCGGGGACAAAUAAACGUUGUUGGUCCGCGGUAAAUAGUCAUCGAUAUUUGUUACAUGAUCUCGCUUGGAUUGCCGAGCUGUCGGUACGUGAAGGAAAAAUUACGCUCAUUCUCAUUCGAGAUAAAUUCGGAUGCAAAACAGACUAUGCCGUUUGGUUUAUCCCGAUACGAUUUCUAGUUCUGGAGAUAUCGUCGUACUUGUAAUUUUUUCGAUGCGCUAUCCCUGUUCUCGGUUCUCUGUCCCGUACCUUGACCCAGUUACUGACCAGCCUAGCUCUCACUAUAACUCGUCUAGACAUCUGCUUCUAGGAAAACAACCCUUUCUGGGACCAGAAGAAGAACAAGAAUGCGCAGGAGCGAUUCCGUGUGGCGCUUAAAGAUUUUGAUAUUUCUUAAUUUUACUACGUAGAGUCAAAUCAAAAUAAGGCAGGGUGGACAAUAUCUUACUUUUCGUCUAGCUUUAAUUUCGACAGUUAUUGCUAGAAAAGUAAUAGUUCGUGGCCCUUUCUUGGAAUCCAGGAUUCCCGAGACAACCGCGAAAGCCGUCGGAGGAUUUCUUAACUUCGUAACGUGCUGUCCCAUGAAAGUUUCCUCAUGUUGAAUUCAAAAACUGAUUCCCUUAGAAAACGAAAACGAGUUACCUGCUCCAUUUCAGGCUUGACUUGAUAUCGUUGAUCUUUUAAAAAUGUAAUAACCCUGUGGUUUAAAUAAAACAUUAAAUACAUAAA
Ceratina calcarata is the source of this 1473-nucleotide long non-coding RNA. RefSeq lists it as uncharacterized. The transcript has 2 exons. The record is from RefSeq and is a predicted model, not a curated record. NCBI's taxonomy places the organism in Eukaryota, Metazoa, Arthropoda, Insecta, Hymenoptera, Apidae.